CUCACCAUAGCUCAGUUGGUAGAGCGUCGGACUGUAACUGAUACCCAAUCCAAGGUUCUUAUGGCCGCCCAACCGGGCGAGUAAUCCGCAGGUCCUGUGUUCGACUCACAGUGGUGAGA
This is a transfer RNA of Trichosporon asahii var. asahii CBS 8904, 119 nucleotides long. It matches the Rfam family "tRNA". Rfam says of the family: Transfer RNA (tRNA) molecules are approximately 80 nucleotides in length. Their secondary structure includes four short double-helical elements and three loops (D, anti-codon, and T loops). Further hydrogen bonds mediate the characteristic L-shaped molecular structure. tRNAs have two regions of fundamental functional importance: the anti-codon, which is responsible for specific mRNA codon recognition, and the 3' end, to which the tRNAs corresponding amino acid is attached (by aminoacyl-tRNA synthetases). tRNAs cope with the degeneracy of the genetic code in two manners: having more than one tRNA (with a specific anti-codon) for a particular amino acid; and 'wobble' base-pairing, i.e. permitting non-standard base-pairing at the 3rd anti-codon position. NCBI's taxonomy places the organism in Eukaryota, Fungi, Basidiomycota, Tremellomycetes, Trichosporonales, Trichosporonaceae. The record is from Rfam.